GUAUUGCGACCGUUUGCCACCGAGUCUCGUAACGAAAUGAAACAACGACCCAAAGCCGCCAAACGUAUUUGGAGAAACUCUAUUGAGGUUUUGUUUUUGCUGGCCAAGACAGCGAGAGACGCCGCCCCUCGCUUGUCAUACGAGAGUUUCGGCUGCUUGACUUUUGGCCGUAACGUUUCAGUGAAGAUGUCGGUGCCGUGUCUUCUUCCCCGCAAAACUCCGCUAACCGAAAGUUCUGGAGCUGCUUCAUCGUCGUUGUCGUCGUCGGUUAGUUGCCCUGCGAUAGUCAUCGAAGCAUUGCAAAUUGUCGAUCUAAUCACGAAAUGACAGCAGCAGCACGAAAGCACAAAAUUCAAUUAUCAAAAUAGCCAAAUCAUGCGUUAAAUAAGCUGUUACCAAGUAUAACAACUUUAUCAUUGUAUACAAGCGAUCACGUGCAGCCAACUUCGUGUAUUUCAACUGAAUCCUGG
Long non-coding RNA from Drosophila nasuta, 470 nucleotides. RefSeq lists it as uncharacterized. The record is from RefSeq and is a predicted model, not a curated record. The transcript has 3 exons. NCBI's taxonomy places the organism in Eukaryota, Metazoa, Arthropoda, Insecta, Diptera, Drosophilidae.